GCGGGGGUGGGGGUGUCCCUCAGCCUGAAUUGUGAGAGGGCACAGGCCAGGCCAAGGGACCCCACCGGUGCACG
Molecule: microRNA precursor, 74 nt
Filed under: Myotis brandtii (Brandt's bat)
Lineage: Eukaryota; Metazoa; Chordata; Mammalia; Chiroptera; Vespertilionidae
Description: mir-9193 microRNA precursor family
Rfam family: mir-9193 microRNA precursor family
Source: Rfam by way of RNAcentral